RNAcentral lists this ribosomal RNA (984 nucleotides) under Aeromonas hydrophila. RNAcentral describes it as "partial 23S ribosomal RNA". It matches the Rfam family "Bacterial large subunit ribosomal RNA", at positions 175 to 1211 of the family's 2925-position model. Lineage: Bacteria; Pseudomonadati; Pseudomonadota; Gammaproteobacteria; Aeromonadales; Aeromonadaceae. RNAcentral also lists the same sequence under 2 other names. The record is from RNAcentral.
CGAGGCGAACCGGGAGAACUGAAACAUCUAAGUACCCCGAGGAAAAGAAAUCAACCGAGAUUCCCUCAGUAGCGGCGAGCGAACGGGGAUUAGCCCUUAAGCAUCUUGGAAGUUAGUGGAACGGUCCUGGAAAGGCCGGCGAUACAGGGUGAUAGCCCCGUACACGAAAACAACCUUGAUGUGAAAUCGAGUAGGGCGGGACACGUGACAUCCUGUCUGAAUAUGGGGGGACCAUCCUCCAAGGCUAAAUACUCCUGACUGACCGAUAGUGAACCAGUACCGUGAGGGAAAGGCGAAAAGAACCCCUGUGAGGGGAGUGAAAUAGAACCUGAAACCGUGUACGUACAAGCAGUGGGAGCCCUUCGGGGUGACUGCGUACCUUUUGUAUAAUGGGUCAGCGACUUACAUUUUGUAGCGAGGUUAACCGUAUAGGGGAGCCGUAGGGAAACCGAGUCUUAACUGGGCGUCUAGUUGCAAGGUGUAGACCCGAAACCGGGUGAUCUAGCCAUGGGCAGGUUGAAGGUUGAGUAACAUCAACUGGAGGACCGAACCCACUAACGUUGCAAAGUUAGGGGAUGACCUGUGGCUGGGGGUGAAAGGCCAAUCAAACUCGGAGAUAGCUGGUUCUCCCCGAAAGCUAUUUAGGUAGCGCCUCGGACGAAUACUACUGGGGGUAGAGCACUGUUUGGGCUAGGGGGUCAUCCCGACUUACCAACCCCAUGCAAACUCCGAAUACCAGUAAGUAAUAUCCGGGAGACACACGGCGGGUGCUAACGUCCGUCGUGAAGAGGGAAACAACCCAGACCGCCGGCUAAGGUCCCAAAGUUCUGGUUAAGUGGGAAACGAUGUGGGAAGGCUCAGACAGCUAGGAUGUUGGCUUAGAAGCAGCCAUCAUUUAAAGAAAGCGUAAUAGCUCACUAGUCGAGUCGGCCUGCGCGGAAGAUGUAACGGGGCUCAAACCAGGCACCGAAGCCGCGGAUUCAC